UACGUAGGGACCAAGCGUUGUCCGGAAUUAUUGGGCGUAAAGAGCUCGUAGGCGGUGUGUCACGUCGGCCGUGAAAACCUGCAGCUUAACUGUGGGCGUGCGGUCGAUACGGGCAUCACUGGAGUUCGGCAGGGGAGACUGGAAUUCCUGGUGUAGCGGUGAAAUGCGCAGAUAUCAGGAGGAACACCGGUGGCGAAGGCGGGUCUCUGGGCCGAUACUGACGCUGAGGAGCGAAAGCGUGGGGAGCAAACAGG
Molecule: ribosomal RNA, 254 nt
Filed under: uncultured bacterium
Lineage: Bacteria
Description: partial 16S ribosomal RNA
Rfam family: Bacterial small subunit ribosomal RNA
Source: RNAcentral